RNAcentral lists this ribosomal RNA (115 nucleotides) under Rhizochromulina marina. The record is from RNAcentral. Lineage: Eukaryota; Dictyochophyceae; Rhizochromulinales.
AGUGUUCUUAGCAAAAUAGAACCACACUGACCCAUCUCGAACUCAUGUGUGAAAUGUUUUAGCGGCGAAAAUACUGAAAGGGACACUUUUCGGGAACCAAGCUCAAUGCUCCAUU